This 250-nucleotide ribosomal RNA is filed under the name uncultured bacterium. RNAcentral's name for it is "partial 16S ribosomal RNA". It matches the Rfam family "Bacterial small subunit ribosomal RNA", at positions 524 to 773 of the family's 1533-position model. The record is from RNAcentral.
UACAGAGACGUCGAGCGUUGUUCGGAUUCAUUGGGCGUAAAGGGUGCGUAGGCGGUCGGGUAAGUCGGAUGUGAAAUCCCAGAGCUUAACUCUGGAAGGGCAUCCGAAACUACCCGGCUGGAGGACUGGAAGGGAGACUGGAAUUCUCGGUGUAGCGGUGAAAUGCGUAGAUAUCGAGAGGAACACCCGUGGCGAAGGCGGGUCUCUGGACAGUUCCUGACGCUGAGGCACGAAAGCCAGGGGAGCAAAC